AGUGAACGCUGGCGGUAGGCCUAACACAUGCAAGUCGAACGGCAGCACAGUAAGAGCUUGCUCUUACGGGUGGCGAGUGGCGGACGGGUGAGGAAUACAUCGGAAUCUACUUUUUCGUGGGGGAUAACGUAGGGAAACUUACGCUAAUACCGCAUACGACCUACGGGUGAAAGCAGGGGAUCUUCGGACCUUGCGCGAUUGAAUGAGCCGAUGUCGGAUUAGCUAGUUGGCGGGGUAAAGGCCCACCAAGGCGACGAUCCGUAGCUGGUCUGAGAGGAUGAUCAGCCACACUGGAACUGAGACACGGUCCAGACUCCUACGGGAGGCAGCAGUGGGGAAUAUUGGACAAUGGGCGCAAGCCUAAUCCAGCCAUACCGCGUGGGUGAAGAAGGCCUUCGGGUUGUAAAGCCCUUUUGUUGGGAAAGAAAAGCAGCAGGUUAAUACCCCGCUGUUCUGACGGUACCCAAAGAAUAAGCACCGGCUAACCUCGUG
Molecule: ribosomal RNA, 492 nt
Filed under: uncultured bacterium
Lineage: Bacteria
Description: partial 16S ribosomal RNA
Rfam family: Bacterial small subunit ribosomal RNA
Source: RNAcentral